GCGGCCGCGAGGUGGCUGGGCGCCGGCGACCGGGACACGGGGGAGGGUCGCAGACCCUGAACAGUUCGAAAACUACCGCGAGGUACAGUCUUGUGGGGCUGGUCGCAGUUGUUCCCCUGGAGCAGUAUUUGGGUUCGUCGUCACAGCAUCCCUGCCAGUCGGCUGUCCCCCCCACCCCAUCCCCUCCGGGCCGGAGACUCAACAGAGGGAUCGAGCAGACCGUCCUCCCAGAACCCCCGUGCAUCCCAGGGAUGGCGCCCUCUACAGGAGGGUCCUUGCCUCACUUUCGGGAGUCUCUUAACUGCAUCUCGUUGAUUCCUAGCGUUAGAAGAACUGAGCUAACAGGAGUCUGCCACCUCUCUGCCUUGCUGAUGCACCCAGGCAGGGCUCACUGGUUUGCAGGAGUACAUGACCACAGAUCAGAGCCAUUG
Molecule: long non-coding RNA, 431 nt
Filed under: Mus musculus (house mouse)
Lineage: Eukaryota; Metazoa; Chordata; Mammalia; Rodentia; Muridae
Description: long non-protein coding RNA, Trp53 induced transcript
Source: RNAcentral